ACAAGUUAACACCGACUAAAAUGACUUCUUAGUUCAGAGCCUCACAAGUCACAUCCGUACAGUAUUCUUGUAACCUUUCUUCGUCGGAAUGAGUUACAGUUUGAAGUAAGAAAAUGGCACAAAUUAAAUCACGUGAUCAGAGAAAGCCGUUGGAGUGGUGGAAGCUGAUUGGUCGGUGUACAGUGUCAUGUAUCAGUGUCUUGCUUUCUCAAUUUGCUCUCUCUUUGGUCCCUCGCUUCUUCUCUGCUUCCCCACUUAUCAUCCAACUCAUUCUCUCAGCUCUGGUGUUGUUAGUGGUUGUGGGUUUGGGGAGAUGUAGUAAAAGGCUUCUUGGAGUUUCUGGGUCAGCUUCGGCUUUUGUUUUCUUCAAUAUACUCUUCAUUUGGGCUGUUUAUUUAGCUGUUCUUAGACCAGCUGUAUUAUGUCUAAUGGAUAUUGCAUUUAACGGAGCAAUCACCAUGCUCAUCAUUGGGCUGUGUAGUAUCAUUUCAAGCAAUCCUGGUUUGGUAACAUAUGGGUCUUCAGAUGAACUUGUUGAAAGUUCAGUUGCUGAAGUUGAAGCUCAUAAUCGGAUACUGGAGCCAUCGGCAAGUGUCUUAUGUCAUGAAUGCCCAACUGAAGGUUCUGUUUUGGGCAGGAGGGUAAGAUAUUGCAGAAUCUGCAAGGGAUACAUAAAGGGAUUCGAUCACCACUGUCCUGCUUUUGGGAACUGCAUAGGCCAAAACAAUCAUGUCCUCUUCAUGGUUCUUUUAGUUGGAUUUCUUUCUACUGAAGCUUCUUACGUAGCAUGUUCGUCCCAAUUUGCCGCAAAAUCCCAGAUUGUAGAUAAAACCAGAUUGGAGACUAGUCUGUCUGGAAAUCUGGCCAUUAGCACAAUGCUGUUCUCCAUUUUCCAAUUGCUAUGGCAGGCAGUGUUUAUGACGUGGCAUAUAUAUUGUAUAUGUUUCAACAUCAGAACAGAUGAAUGGAUAAACUGGAAGAAGUAUCCAGAGUUCCAAGAUGUUGUUCAUUCUCAACAAGAAUUGGAUGUUUCAGAUGGGUGGAAUAAACAAGGAACCGAGUCUUUUGCUCCUGCCUGUGAUGAAAUUGAGAGGCUGGCAUGAGAACCUAUCCUACAAAACGUACAAGUCACCUCUAAAUUGGCAAAAUCAAGGCUAUCUAUCUAUGGUUUUUUGCUAAGCAAAGACAGACUAAACAAAGGGAAGGAGACCAAUCCGUGGAACAUCCUACUUGAGCAUGAUCCAGCACCUACCUAUUGAGUAACCAAUGUCCGAGCGGCUUAGAUGGGAAACGGAGGGACCUCAGACACUCCAUCAGGUGGGUUCAGACUGUUCAGUUAUAGUUUAACCCGAGUCUCAGUUCGUUUAAUCUCCGUUUAUUUUGUUAAAACUGAAAACUUUUAAAAAUUAGCUGAAAUAAUAUAACGAGACGCAUGAAUAGUACUAAAAAGUGUAAUAGAACCUAUAAAUAAUUACAAAAAUAAGUUGAAUAGUAAAAUAAGUUACGCCAAAUAAUCUUUUGCUGGAUGAGGUCUAACUCUCAUAUUUUUGCCGAAGAAGAAAAAAGAAACCUAAACGAUUAGAAUAAAACUUUCCAGAGUAGAAACAAAUCAUCAAUUAAGAUGGUCAUGAAACACAAAUGAAAUAGCUUUUAGCUAAAACCCCAUAAAGCACAUACAUAGCCCAGCACUUCUACCAUUUUUAACACAAAAAAACAACCCACGUUACUCAAAACCCAUAAUUUACAUAUCUACAUAGCUUAGCAAUUCUCCCUUGAUUUCUGAAAAGCAAAAUGAACCGUUGGAGGAUCUCCUAGUCAUGUUAGAUUUGGCUGCUAAGGCAACUCCUCAAGUACCUUAUUC
RNA transcript from Quercus robur (English oak), 1861 nucleotides. It is a transcript of the gene named palmitoyltransferase AKR1-like, with no coding region annotated. NCBI's taxonomy places the organism in Eukaryota, Viridiplantae, Streptophyta, Magnoliopsida, Fagales, Fagaceae. The transcript is spliced from 14 exons. The record is from RefSeq and is a predicted model, not a curated record.